Molecule: ribosomal RNA, 254 nt
Filed under: uncultured bacterium
Lineage: Bacteria
Description: partial 16S ribosomal RNA
Rfam family: Bacterial small subunit ribosomal RNA
Source: RNAcentral
UACGGGGGGAGCAAGCGUUGUUCGGAUUUACUGGGCGUAAAGGGCGCGUAGGCGGCCAGCACAAGUCAGUUGUGAAAUCUCCGAGCUUAACUCGGAAAGGUCAACUGAUACUGUGCGGCUAGAGUGCAGAAGGGGCAACUGGAAUUCUUGGUGUAGCGGUGAAAUGCGUAGAUAUCAAGAGGAACACCUGCGGCGAAGGCGGGUUGCUGGGCUGACACUGACGCUGAGGAGCGAAAGCGUGGGGAGCGAACAGG